CUUGCCGUAAACUAUGUAUACUUGGUGUAGCCGGAAUCAACCCUGGCUGUGCCGUAGCUAACGCGAUAAGUAUACCGCCUGGGGAGUACGCUCGCAAGGGUGAAACUCAAAAGAAUUGACGGGGACCCGCACAAGCAGUGGAGCAUGUGGUUUAAUUCGAUGCAACGCGAAGAACCUUACCCAGACUUGACAUACAGUGGAAGUUUGUAGAAAUAUAAACGCCCUUCGGGGCCGCUGAACAGGUGC
RNAcentral lists this ribosomal RNA (246 nucleotides) under uncultured Parachlamydiaceae bacterium. RNAcentral describes it as "partial 16S ribosomal RNA". It matches the Rfam family "Bacterial small subunit ribosomal RNA", at positions 796 to 1041 of the family's 1533-position model. Lineage: Bacteria; Pseudomonadati; Chlamydiota; Chlamydiia; Parachlamydiales; Parachlamydiaceae. The record is from RNAcentral.